RNAcentral lists this long non-coding RNA (507 nucleotides) under Homo sapiens (human). Its description in RNAcentral is "proline rich 4 (ENSG00000263247.6)". Lineage: Eukaryota; Metazoa; Chordata; Mammalia; Primates; Hominidae. The record is from RNAcentral.
CGGAUGUUGAGGAUCACCGAGCCCGCGACGUAGAAGUACGGGAAGUUCAUGCGCAGCUGCCAGGCCAGCUCGAAGAAGGCGAGCAGGGUGCGGGAGAGCCCCUUGCAGAAGACGCCGUACGAGGUUCUCCAGCAUUUGGCUCAAGGCCCCAAGGGCACAUGUGACAAGAAGGCGCCAGCUUUUUAAACAUUGGAAGUUCUUCUGUGUCAGUUCUGUGACAGAACAUUUACUUAACACAUCAUGAAGGCUAGUUUGGAUGUGGAGGGGAAUAGACUCCAUCUAUCCAUAUGAGCUGCUGCAGAAGAAUAUUUUGCCUGCUGGAACCUGCUGUAUCUACUCAAGAGUGGAAGUUUUCACAGAUGUCAGCCAGGAAGAUGUUCCCCUCGUAAUAUCAGAUGGAGGAGACUCUGAGCAGUUCCUAGAUGAGGAGCGUCAGGGACCACCUUUGGGAGGACAGCAAUCUCAACCCUCUGCUGGUGAUGGGAACCAGGAUGAUGGCCCUCAGCA